Molecule: ribosomal RNA, 817 nt
Filed under: uncultured bacterium
Lineage: Bacteria
Description: bacterial SSU rRNA
Rfam family: Bacterial small subunit ribosomal RNA
Source: RNAcentral
AUGCAAGUCGAACGCUGAACUCCUGAAUCUUCGGAUUUGGGAGCUAGGCGUGGCGCACGGGUGAGUAACGCGUGGAUAACCUGCCCACGAGUGGGGAAUAACCCCGGGAAACUGGGGCUAAUACCGCAUAAUCCUUUCCUGACACCGGUCAGGAAAGGCAAAGCCCGCAAGGGCGCUGGUGGAGGGAUCCGCGUCUGAUCAGCUAGUUGGUGAGGUAACGGCUCACCAAGGCGGAGACCGGUAGCCGGUCUGAGAGGACGAUCGGCCACACUGGAACUGAGACACGGUCCAGACUCCUACGGGAGGCAGCAGUGAGGAAUAUUGCGCAAUGGGGGAAACCCUGACGCAGCGACGCCGCGUGGAGGACGACGCCCUUCGGGGUGUAAACUCCUUUCGACGGGGACGAAUGCCCGCAAGGGUUUGACGGUACCCGUAUAAGAAGCCCCGGCUAACUACGUGCCAGCAGCCGCGGUAAUACGUAGGGGGCAAGCGUUGCUCGGAAUUACUGGGCGUAAAGGGUCCGUAGGCGGUGGGGCAUGUCGGUUGUGAAAUCUCCCGGCUUAACUGGGAGGGUGCGAUCGAAACUGUUCCGCUAGAGGGCCGGAGAGGCGAGUGGAAUUGCUGGUGUAGCGGUGAAAUGCGUAGAGAUCAGCAGGAACACCGGAGGCGAAGGCGGCUCGCUGGACGGCACCUGACGCUGAGGGACGAAAGCUAGGGGAGCAAACAGGAUUAGAUACCCUGGUAGUCCUAGCCCUAAACGAUGGUCACUUGCUGUGCCGGACGUACGUCCGGCGUGGCGGAGCUAACGCGUUAAGUG